This 432-nucleotide ribosomal RNA is filed under the name uncultured bacterium. RNAcentral describes it as "partial 16S ribosomal RNA". It matches the Rfam family "Bacterial small subunit ribosomal RNA", at positions 29 to 506 of the family's 1533-position model. The record is from RNAcentral.
AACGAACGCUGGCGGCAUGCCUAACACAUGCAAGUCGAACGAGGCCUUCGGGUCUAGUGGCGCACGGGUGCGUACCGCGUGGGAACCUGCCCCUAGGUUCGGAAUAACUCCCCGAAAGGGGUGCUAAUACCGGAUAAUGUCUUCGGACCAAGGAUUUAUCGCCUUUGGAUGGGCCCGCGUUGGAUUCGCUGGUUGGUAGGGUAAAAGCCUACCAAGGCGACGAUCCAUAGCUGGUCUGAGAGGAUGAUCAGCCACACUGGGACUGGGACACGGCCCAGACUCCUGCGGGCGGCGGCAGUGGGGACUAUUGGACAGUGGGCGAAAGCCUGAUCCGGCACGGCCGCGUGAGUGAUGAAGGGCUUAGGGUUGUAAUGCUCUUUUACCCGGGAGGAUAAUGGCAGUACCGGGAGAAUAGGCUCCGGCUACCUCCGU